Molecule: ribosomal RNA, 452 nt
Filed under: uncultured bacterium
Lineage: Bacteria
Description: bacterial SSU rRNA
Rfam family: Bacterial small subunit ribosomal RNA
Source: RNAcentral
AACGAACGCUGGCGGCAUGCCUAACACAUGCAAGUCGAACGAGACCUUCGGGUCUAGUGGCGCACGGGUGCGUAACGCGUGGGAAUCUACCCUUGGGUUCGGAAUAACUCAGAGAAAUUUGAGCUAAUACCGGAUGAUGUCGCAAGACCAAAGAUUUAUCGCCCAAGGAUGAGCCCGCGUAGGAUUAGCUUGUUGGUGAGGUAAAAGCUCACCAAGGCGACGAUCCUUAGCUGGUCUGAGAGGAUGAUCAGCCACACUGGGACUGAGACACGGCCCAGACUCCUACGGGAGGCAGCAGUGGGGAAUAUUGGACAAUGGGCGAAAGCCUGACCCAGCAAUGCCGCGUGAGUGAUGAAGGCCUUAGGGUUGUAAAGCUCUUUUACCCGGGAUGGAUAAAUGACAGUACCGGGAGAAUAAGCCCCGGCUAACUCCGUGCCAGCAGCCGCGGUAAU